AUACGGAGGGGGCUAGCGUUGUUCGGAAUUACUGGGCGUAAAGCGCGCGUAGGCGGACCAGUCAGUCAGGGGUGAAAUCCCGGGGCUCAACCCCGGAACUGCCUUUGAUACUGCUGGUCUUGAGUUCGAGAGAGGUGAGUGGAAUUCCGAGUGUAGAGGUGAAAUUCGUAGAUAUUAGGAGGAACACCAGUGGCGAAGGCGGCUCACUGGCUCGAUACUGACGCUCAGGUGCGAAAGCGUGGGGAGCAAACAGGAUUAGAUACCCUAGUAGUCC
Molecule: ribosomal RNA, 274 nt
Filed under: uncultured bacterium
Lineage: Bacteria
Description: partial 16S ribosomal RNA
Rfam family: Bacterial small subunit ribosomal RNA
Source: RNAcentral